This 405-nucleotide ribosomal RNA is filed under the name Vibrio parahaemolyticus. Its description in RNAcentral is "partial 23S ribosomal RNA". It matches the Rfam family "Bacterial large subunit ribosomal RNA", at positions 1210 to 1616 of the family's 2925-position model. Lineage: Bacteria; Pseudomonadati; Pseudomonadota; Gammaproteobacteria; Vibrionales; Vibrionaceae. The record is from RNAcentral.
GUGCUUUUGCACAUUGGGUAGGGGAGCGUUCUGUAAGCGGUUGAAGGUGUGUGGUAACGCAUGCUGGACGUAUCAGAAGUGCGAAUGCUGACAUGAGUAACGAUAAAGGGGGUGAAAAACCUCCUCGCCGGAAGACCAAGGGUUCCUGUCCAACGUUAAUCGGGGCAGGGUAAGUCGACCCCUAAGGCGAGGCCGAAAGGCGUAGUCGAUGGGAAACGGGUUAAUAUUCCCGUACUUCUUACAAUUGCGAUGGGGGGACGGAGAAGGCUAGGUGGGCCUGGCGACGGUUGUCCAGGUUCAAGUGCGUAGGCUUGAGAGUUAGGUAAAUCCGGCUCUCUUUAAGGCUGAGACACGAUGUCGAGCUACUACGGUAGUGAAGUCAUUGAUGCCAUGCUUCCAGGAAAA